CUAAGAUAUCCAUUCUACCAUCUUUACGUCAUUUUUAUACGUCGAUCAGAGUUUUAUUAGGCGAUACAAAAAGAUAGUGAUAAUUCAAAAGAUAAUUGGUUGGAAUGCAAUUAUCCAUCUGUACUAAAAAACCUCUAAAUGAAGCAUUGGUAAAAAGAAUUUUAUUUGCAAGAUUAGGACCGAUUUCAACGAAGUUGUAAGUGUAAAUAAAGUGGAGAAAGUUCUAAAACAUUCUACGGCAACUACGUGGUUUCUUUUAAUAAUAGUUUUUAAUUAUUUUUUAAUUGUAGUUAUAUAUUAAACGGUUUUUGUAAUGUUGAUUUUGUGGGUCGAUAUAUUAUAUAAAUGAACGUAAAACUUUUGUAAGAUGAGUUGCAUUCAAGUUAAUAAAUAAAUUUUUGGAAAGAA
Molecule: long non-coding RNA, 408 nt
Organism: Hydra vulgaris (swiftwater hydra)
Lineage: Eukaryota; Metazoa; Cnidaria; Hydrozoa; Anthoathecata; Hydridae
Source: RefSeq, a predicted model, not a curated record